This 8107-nucleotide long non-coding RNA is filed under the name Erythranthe guttata (spotted monkey flower). RNAcentral's name for it is "long non-coding RNA (EGUT_LNC001808)". The record is from RNAcentral. Lineage: Eukaryota; Viridiplantae; Streptophyta; Magnoliopsida; Lamiales; Phrymaceae.
ACGUUCUAGGUUACUGCUUCGAAUUCAUGCGUCGAGUUAAAAGUUUGUAAAAUGCCCUUACAUUGCUUUGGCGAGGUUUAUCGUAUCGUGAAGUUCUUUGAGGUGGCUGCUCACAUUUGAUCCAGUCCAGAAGGAGGAAUGUGGAGGUGGCAACAGCGGCCACGGCGGCGGUGCCCAAUGCCUAGGGCCCGGAUUAAACAGAGCCCGACCCAUUUGAUUCAUAUGGUUCAUUUGAUUAACCGGAAAAUGAAAACUAAUCGACUCCGGAAACUAGUAAACAGAAGCACCAGUAAAAAAUAAUCCCAAAUAUUACAAAUGAUUUCAGCCCUCGAUGUUUAUGAAUGAAGGGUAAGAAUGACAAAUCAUCGGACAAUUUUUAAUAAAUGCUGCAAAUUUCCUACAAUAUUAUAGGACUCUCGUAUAUGAUUGUAAAUGAGUCGAGCCGGUUAGUGAACUCGUUGAGCCAGCUCGACAAGAGCUCGAGAUCAAACUCAAAUUGUUUGAGCCGACGAACUCGAGUUCGAGUUCAUCCUUAGCACAAGUUCGCGAGCCGGCUCGCUAGCUGUUUUCUAUUUUUUAUUUAUAUUUUCCUAAUAUAAAUAUAACUAUAAUAUAAUAAUAAAAUAUAUAAUAGUAAUUCAACAAUACAUACGUAUAAAAAAAAUCAACUUAAGUUUUAUUUUUAGUUCUAUAACUUAUUUUAUUAAGUAAUUUAUAAUAAAAAAAUAAUUUUAAUACUAUGUAAAAAUUGAAAAAUUUAAAAAAAAAAAUACUUGAGUUUCAUUUAAGUGGAAUUCUUGGAUCGGCCCACUUAGGUCGAAACUAAACUUUGGGUCUAUCCAUUAAAUCUAAAUGCAUUAUAAUAGCUUCGUUGAGCCACUUACACUAGUUGACUUGGUUUGGACCCAUUAAAUAUAUGUGAGUGUAUAUACAAUUGUGUAUUAAUAUUUGAUUUUUUUAUUUUUAAAAGACGAAAGAUUUGAAACUACUGAACCUAAAGUCUACUGACCAUGUAUAACCAGCAAACACUUGACAGCAAUGAUAACAUGUAAAAUCAGAAUACGACAGAGAGAAGCAAUUUUUUUUUUUUUUGUUUUACUUGUCCAGGGAAACAAAUAGAUCGGGUGAUAGAAAUACGGAUCAGGAAAAUGAUGUACCUCUUUUUCCUUCAAUAAAGCUGCAUAAUUAACUGAUAGUGCUUUUAUUUCCGCCUCAGAUUCCUGAAGUCUCUUAAUCUCUAUCUCGUAUUGUUCCAUCUGCAAAACAAAAUAAAUAUUCUGACGCACAGUUGUAAACUAAGUAAAACUAGAAGAGGUAGUAAACAAUAAUCUACCAUACAUCAUUUGAUUCAAGAUCGUUCAACAUUUUUCUUGCAAUUUAUUUAUAACCAUCCAUCCGAAACACACUAUCCAGAAUAAACUAACAUGCUCUUUUUUACCCAAAUAACCGACAGUUAAUCCAGUUAGCCAUCUUCAGACACAAAUACAUGAAUGGUUUAUCACAAGACACUGUUAAGCCAGAAUAUUCAUCUGCCUUCCCGGCAAAUUCUCGAACAUCGCACAAACCACCACCAAUAACCUAAAUCCAUAAAUGCAACUUCCCAACCCCCAUCAACACCAGUGAAAAAAAAAACCUCAAUAAAACCUAAUCGAUUCGCAAUUAAAUCCUGUCAAUUUCUGAUUGACGAAGUUAUGAACGAAUUUAGAUGUUAAAAUAUCAUGCAAGUUCAUCUCCUCUCAAUUAAACACAAAAACUAUAACCAGGCAGGGAAAACGAAAAAUUAAAGAAAUAAACAGUAAGAUCAAAUCAAUUAAACAAAAAUAAGUCAUAAUAUACCUCAUGAUUAGAAGGGGAAUCAAAGCCAUUGACGACUGGCGAAUGCGUCGGCGUAUUCGUACGACUAAAACUUCGAGAAAUUCUCCGCUCAGAAACUGAAUUCCCGUUGUUCAAUCGAUCGCGCGGCGGAGGAGUAUACAUUGACAGCUCUUCAUCGUCUUCGUCAUCGUAGACAUCGAGUGCGAUUUUACUCAGACUCUCCUUUAGCUACCGAAUUCCACAUCGGCAUAGCGAUUUACCUUCAAGAACACACUUCUCAGCCCCGACGAAAUCUGCAAGUCGCAAACCAAAUCAAUUAUUUACCCUGCAGUUUCAAUUCAUCAUUUUCCAAAAAAAAAAAAAAAAAAAAAAAAAAGAAGAGAAAUUGCAAAUGAAGAAACAAGUAGUCUUGAAUCUCUAGGAUUCAUACCGAUUUGAACAUGGAGUUUUCACAUCAAAAAGAAAACCCUUUGGAGGCCUUCGACGAAGUCAGAUCUUAAAUUUCAGAUGGUAUUAACGCAAUUAAAAAAAAAGUGAGUCGUCCUUCUAGCUUAUGCCGGCACCGUAGCUGGUAUCUCAGUUGGUUGGCGGUGCCGGAGGAUAAGAUUCGGCUGGUUUUGUCGCCGCCUCGGGAGGUGGGAAGAGACGGUGGUGAAAGAACGGAGACGGCGGUCCCUGUUAAGCUGGGUUGGUGAAGAAGAAGGAAUAUAAUUAAGAAAUUUUAAAUUUUGCAAUUUGAUACAAUUUUUUUGAUUAUUUCUAUUUAAAAUAUAUGUUUAUUGAAAAACAAAUUUCAGAGGACAUUUGAGGUUUUUCAAGUGUAAAAAACAAUAACUAGCUGCACUGAUCGCGCGUGCAUCAUACGAUUUGGAGAUAAGGGGGCCGGUGGCUUAGACUUUGUGACAUAGGGGGUAAAUGCUAAUUGUUUUAACAUAGUUUCUGGUAAUUAGAGGUUUCACAGGGGUAGCGCUUGCUAAAAGCUCAAUAAAAACAUGAUUUUCUUACCUGGAAAUCACGAAAUUUGUCGGAUGAUAUAUAUUUUUUAUUUUUUAUAUAAUAAAUAAAUAGUUAGAGAAGUGGGCUACCAGUUGUAUAGGGUUAGAAUAUAAGUCCCAGUAAUUAAUGGGCCGAUAUCUACAUGACACUAAAAGGCGAAAUCUCUCGCCUCCAGGCCCCAUUCCUUGGUCCGACAAGGAUAUUUCUAGUCCAUCUAGUUUCUCACAUACCUUCAUUCUAUAUUUUUAAAAUAUUUUAAUUCCCUUAUUCAUGUUAGAAUAAAACGCAAUUAAGGUCAAUUUCAUAACUGAAAUGAUUUGUGCAGGCAUAAAUUAAACAUUCAGGCACAUUUUUUACCAUUUCUCAAAAACCAAAAGGUAAAAAACUCAAAAAACUCUCUCAACCCUCUCGAUUUUCUUUCGCAAAGCCCGUGCAAAUCGUCAACAGAUCGGAGGUAAUUUUUACGUUUUUACGAUCCUCUUGUUAUGUAGAUUACGAAUCCGAAAAAAAAAAACGAAAAAAAUCGAGCUUAGCAACACUCGGUGUGAAUUUAACACGAGCGGAGCCACGCUCGACUUUUUUCGUCUCUCUAUUCGGAAUCAUAAUCGACAUAACAAGAGGAUCGUAAAAACGUAAAAAUUACCUCCGAUCUGUUGACGAUUUGCACGGGCUUUGCGAANNNNNNNNNNNNNNNNNNNNNNNNNNNNNNNNNNNNNNNNNNNNNNNNNNNNNNNNNNNNNNNNNNNNNNNNNNNNNNNNNNNNNNNNNNNNNNNNNNNNAGGAAAAUUUAUAUUUGAAGGGAAAUUAUAAUUCCCAAACAUGAAGAUUUUUUUUUUGGCAAUUUGACCUUUCUCCAAGGGUUGGCUCUAAAAAUUUGUCCUUUUGAAAAUGGUGGGGGAUAUACGCCGGGGCAAAUUAAAAAAUCAGGCACUUUUUUUUUCAUGGUUUUUUACCUUUUUACCAUAACUAUUUACCUUUUGUACUAUUCCUACCAAAUCCUAUAAAAAAAGAAAACUCAACAUUCAAAGUGAAAAAUUUCAGAUAUUCAACAAUUUUUGCGAUGGAUCCAAACAACUUAGACCCGAAUGUAAGUUUUUCGUUUUUUUCCCGAAAAUUCAUCUACUCGUGUGAAUUUACGUGAGCACUUGCCAAGUGCUCGCGUAAAUUCACACGAGCUCAAGAAUAAAAAAAUUGUUCUUGAGCUCGUGUGAAUUUACGCGAGCACUUGGCAAGUGCUCACGUAAAUUCACACGAGUAGAUGAAUUUUCGGGAAAAAAACGAAAAACUUACAUUCGGGUCUAAGUUGUUUGGAUCCAUCGCAAAAAUUGUUGAAUAUCUGAAAUUUUUCACUUUGAAUGUUGAGUUUUCUUUUUUUAUAGGAUUUGGUAGGAAUAGUACAAAAGGUAAAUAGUUAUGGUAAAAAGGUAAAAAACCAUGGUAAAAAAGUGCCUGAAUGUUUAAUUUGGCCUGCGUAUAUCACCACCCAUUUCAUAAGGACAAAUUUUAAAGCGAACCCUUGAGGUAAGGUCAAAUUGCCAAAAAAAAAUCUUCAUGUUUGGGUAUUAUAAUUACCCUUCAAAUAUAAAUUUUCUUAGACUUUCACCUUUGCAGUGUCAAAUUUAGUGGAAUCUUAUAGAGCAUGUGGAAUAUUUUCCAAUUGUACUCGUUUUACCUCAUUGCAGCUCCACAUUUUGAAACAAAGAUGAUUAUAAAAAAAAAACUUUUGGCUUUGUAAAUAUAAGAUUGUGGUGCAACUGAAACUAUCUUUUUGCACAAAAUGAGUAGAAACUAGAGAACAUUCCACGGAAUCUAGAAGAUUCUAUUGAAUUUGACACUGCAAUGACGGACAUGUAAGAAAAUUCAUUGUUGAUGGGAUGAUUGUAAUUACCCAGACAUGAAGAGUUUUUUCGUAAUUUGACCUUUAACUUAGUAAUUUACCCUAGUUUAAGAACUAUAAUGAGAUAAAAAACAUCUUACGCUCAUUAAUUGCGUUAAUAUAUUUCUUAAACCGGUCAGUAGCAAUAGGCCCUUCAAACUGCUAAGAAAUAGAAUUAAGUACACCCCUAAAAUUCAUCCGCUUUCCCUUAAAAUUCGACACAAAAUUUCACUCUGAACUUAACCUUAUUCUAUAUUCACAAUCAAGAAGACAUAUUGGAGAGUUUCUUAUAAGUUUAUACAGCAAGUCUAGUGAUACGAAAAACAACUUAUAUACAAGAACAAAUAUACGUAGGCAAAAAUGAUCAAAUAUUACAUCAUUCUCUUUGCAGAUUUAAUGCCAUUUCGUAUCCCGUUUUGGCGUGAAAAUUCUACUUCUGAUAUUUGCAGGGUUUUUUCUAUUUCAGCAAAUCUUGCCGUUUUCCGUUUUCUCCACUCCACGUCAUUUCUUCUGGCGAAAUUAACCGAAACCAAGAAAAAGAAGUCCAUUGUCUGCACUUGUGAGUAGUGCAAUGCAACUCAUUUAGGUUUCACCAAAUAGGAUGCCCAUAUUUCAUCUGUAGGGGGUGGCGGUUGCACCCAGUGCCCUGGUAUACGGCUGCAUCCAAGUUCCGUCAAUUAAAAAAAACGAGAUAAUUUUUUAAACAGGAUCAUAUAUCAAUAAUAAACAUUAGAGAAUUUACAUUGUUACUAUAAAAAAUAAAAUGUAUAAACUGAUUAAUUUCAUCAGGAUUUCUAAAUAUGUUAGAUUGGUCUCACAAACCUUCCUCUGGGUCUUAGAUAUGCGUCCCACGUUCUUCGUACCUGCAAUAAAGGUCAAAGUUACACAAGAGCGAUUAUAAGUAAGGCAAAGCAAAACAAAAAAUACGUCGAAUUAAAUAUGCUUAAAUACCUCAAUGAGUGUGCCCAUAUCAGUAUUACUGCCGUGAUAAUAAUGGUAAAAUUCCAUGGGCAAAUUACAGACAGAAUCGUAAGCACUGCCAGUUGUGUCGAUUUUUCUUGAUUCUUUAGUGGCAACCAAUUUCGAAUCUUUUUCAUUUGCAGUCUCGUUUUUCUGGUCUUGAUUUUUAAUGUGUUGGAAAUUACUCAAGCCCAGUUCUUCUGAGUCUGGUGCAUGGCUAUUGACGUGUUUUCUCGAUUCCUCAGCAUUAGCAAUAGCAUCUUUAGCGGCAUCUGUAUCAGCUGCAGCCAUUGAUUGACGUUCCUCUUCUUCAACUGCAGCUCUAACUUGUUCGAGAAACUUGUCAUCCUCUUCUGGAAAGAAAUGACCUGCAUAUUGUCAUAUCAAAAGGUUAGAUAAGUUGUUUUCUCUUUUCUUUUAUAAUACCGAGUAAUUGCAGAUUUAAUGGCUCAGUUCCUUUUCUAAUUAAUGGCUCAGUUCCUUUUCUAAUUAUACUAAAAGGUGGAUUAAAUCUAUGGAAUGGAUAUCGAUUUUUUGAACCUUGUUUUUUCAAUUUCUCUAUUCUGAACGAGCGCAAUUCCUGCAGCUUUUCGACGAUUAAAACCAGCUCGAGCUGAAAAUGCGAGAUUUUUAUGGUUAUGAUUUAGAAGCUUCAGACAGAAACGAACUAAGGAAGAAAAGAAGAGAAAUUAUAAACAAAAAGUCGUGAUUUGGAUAAGCUCUCACCUCGGAUUCCAGCCGUUUCUUUUCUUCUUUUGCCUUAACCUUGGCUAUUUCCUUCAUCUUUUCUACCUGCAAAAUCAUAAUGCCUCUUUAUUAUGCGAAAGUAAAAAGCAGAUUAAGACAGUAAAAAAGAAGCACUUACUUGCCUCGUCAAUUUUAUUAUGUCAACAAUUGCGUAGAGAAUACGUUCUUAUAUGCAGAACAUUGUAUACAUGCAUAAAAAGACCAAUAGAUUCGAAACAUACAAAGAAAGUAUUCCACCAAUAGAGAAAAAUACAAAGAAAGUAUUACAGACCAAAGUCAUGUAACGAGAAAUCUUGAGCUCACUCAUACCAUAAAAAUCUAACGUUUUCACUGUUCUCAUGAAAUCAAGAGUGUAAAGCUGGUUUACAAAAAGUUAAGCUCGUAAGUUUUGUGUCUGACUCAGUUUAGAAAUCAUCCCUCUUCCACACCAUUAUUAGGAUACGGUAUGCUUGUUAAAGCCCAUAAAUAGCUCCCAAUUUUACCAACAUUUCUUAUUAACACCAACCCUCUUCAGGCAAGCCACAUGGCAUGCCCACAAUUCGUUCUCGAAGCUCCUCCCACAGAACAUAAAUUACAUAGUAAAGACAGAACAUAGCUUGCAAUGUUUUUACCUUGCGUUGUGCAGCAUCUUUGGCCACCUCCCGAGCCCUCCACUCAUCAGCUUCUUUAUCCAAUCGAUCAAAUUGCUCGCGCUCCUGAAAAUAAUAAAAAUAAAUAGCAAAUCACAAAUAUAAAUAUACAGACGAAAGAUUCAACUAAGGCACAAAUCUUGAAAAUGUUCUAAAUAUGUGAUUUGCUACCUUUGCUAAAUUCUGAGCUAUUCGCCUUCUCUUCCUUCUUCGCCAAAGCUUAUUUCGUUUAUACUUUUCCAUUUUAUCAGCUAACCUUUUUACAGCAGAUUUUUCCUCCCACGGGCUAUUCUCAUCCGUGACAACCCUGUACAGCUCCAGCUGAUAUCUUAGUUUCGACAUUACGGCAUUUGCAGCAUUCAGCGAUAGAGAUUCUUGAAAGUCGAGUUUGAUUUUAUUUUCCUUCAUAAACUUAGAGAACCUAUCAAUUGAUAUGUCGGCAUCCCCAAUGUGGCCUUCGGUAGUUCUUUCGCUUUCUUUCAUCCGAGUUAACAUCUUUUGUUCUUUUUGCCUGUUCAGUUCGACUUGAUUAAAACCAAUAAACAAAGCAAAUCAGAAUAUUUUUAAAAAAAUAAAUAAAACAUAAAAUUGAGCAAAUUUGUAUAUCAGAUUGAGCUUAAUUCAAGUAUCUAAUAAUCGUAUAAAACAUAAAGCUAAUUGAACUCCACAAAAAAUUCAAUUAGGAACAGAAAAUUCGCCUUUGUGGUUCCGAAAAUCAAAUCAAACUGAAAUUAAAUUCCAAACUCGACAAACAGCUAAACCAAAUCAAAUAACCAGUUUCUUCUACCCUACCAAAAUUUAAAAAAAAAAAAAAAAAAAAAAACAGGGUAUCAAAUUUAAAUUACACGUUCUAGGUUACUGCUUCGAAUUCACGGGUCGAGUUAAAAGUUUGUAAAAUGCCCUUACAUUGCUUUAGCGAGGUUUAUAGUAUCGUGAAGUUCUUUGAGGUGGCUGCUAACAUUUGAUCCAGUCCAGAAGGAGGAAUGUGGAGGUGGCAACGGCGGCCACGGCGGCGGUGCCCAGUGCCUAGGGCCCGGAUUAAACGGAGCCCGACCCAUUUGAUUCAUAUGGUUCAUUUGAUUAA